Scatophagus argus is the source of this 2728-nucleotide long non-coding RNA. RefSeq lists it as uncharacterized. NCBI's taxonomy places the organism in Eukaryota, Metazoa, Chordata, Actinopteri, Scatophagidae. The record is from RefSeq and is a predicted model, not a curated record. The transcript is spliced from 3 exons.
CCUCUGCAGCCUCAGAAUUAAAACCAUCCUGACACACUGAGAUCCAGCGUCGAUCAGACUUCACCUCCACAUGGCCUGCGCAAACAUUUGAUUGUCCAAGGAGCCUCACAGACUCUGAAACCAGACACAGACACAUGAACUUUACUGAUCACCUCCAGACUGUAGGCAGAAGUACGUUUUCCCUGCACUCUUCUUCUAGUUCUGGUGCUGUCACACUCCUUCAGGGUUGACUCAUCGCCUCUGCAGAUGAAAUGACCCUCCCAUGCUGGUUGCUGAACUCUCCAUUCUCCCUGAUGUUUCAUCUCCAGCCUGCCGGAGCAGUGGCUGCCUCCUUCGACCAGCCGAGCAUCAACAGGCACUGCACAAGGAGGGAACACAGUGAAGCUCUUGUUUAGAUUCAGGCACCGAAUGCAAAAAAGUGAUGAAGUUGUCGAUAUGCACAAGAGUCAGCAAACACUUCUUUUCUCAGGUAUGUGAACCUGAAUUAUGAAAAGUCAACCAGAAUUGGAGAAUAGCAACAAGGCCACUGCCUUUUAUUUAUGUUCUUCAAUUAAGUUUUUAAAUAGAUUUAACAUAUAUUGUAUUUGGAUGUUAGUGCAUGAUGUGAGUUAUGCAGUGCCCCCAAUUCUUACAAUCUCUGUGGUUAUUUUAAAUGUGCCAUGGAAUCCAUGUUUGUCUCUGAAAACUUUGGGAGAUUGACAGGAAUUUAAAGAAAAAUCGUGCAUGGGUUUCAAUACUUUUCUACUGCGGGAUCAAUCAACACAAACAUAUUUUACAGUGAGGUUUUUUUUUAAUCUACAAGUAAACAUUGCAUGGCAAGUGACAGGCCUUCAAACAGUAGGUCACACAACAGCUGUAUUUUAUCCUUUUGAGGAGGUGUAAAAUUCAUUUGCCCUUCAUUCGGUGGUUUUCAGUUAUUUACCUAUGUUAGUCUAAGGCGUAGGAAAUUAACAUAGAUUUUUUACUUACUUUGCUAAAUAUGCUUCAGUAUUUGAAUGUUCACUGUAACCCUCCAUAUCCAUCAUUUUCUUUCAUAAAUGCAGACCUGAAUAAAAGACUAAACUGAAAACAUGAUGUUUCUGCCAAGUACAAACACCAGUGAAAGGCACUUACCAGGAUGUUUUUCUGCUUGUUUUAGACUGGAGGUCUCUGUCAUCAGCAGGGCAAAAUGCCAAACUACCACUAAAGACAAUUGCAAAAAUAAACUGUGCUGCACUGAGGGCAUUUUUAACUUUGCUCUGAUUUCAUGUAGCAUAAAACUGAGUCUACAUACAGUUCUGGGAGCUUACUCAGUGAAUACAACAGGGCUGCACUCAUACAGCCUCUUUUAAGGACAAGACUGUUUGCACUAGUCGGCAUAGUUGACCCUGUGGCCCAUAGCUUGUUGCCACACCAACAUGACAUCCAUUCACAAUUACUUUUUCUCCAGCAUACAAACCUUAUUCUUAGUUUCCCACACCCAGGUGCCUGCGAUCCUAAAGAUCAACCGUGGCUCAGAGAGUGCUUCUUAUAUUAAUCAUAAUAUUACAUUUGAAUGUAUCCAGUCUUAUUACCUUGUUAUCACAAGCCCACCUGUUUCUUGGUGAAUUUCUUAUUUCUUAAAGAAAGAAAUGUUCAAUUUAUCACAAGUUUUAUCACACUGGAUUACAUUUUUUACACACCAGAUUUACCAGGAUGUAGUCUGAAGUAACAAAUAACAGUUUGUCAAUUUGUCAAGUCUGCUGGCAAGAGGAACGGAGUCAUCUGAUUCUGUAUGUUAACUGUGUGGUUACUAUAUUACAGAGGUGAAGUGACAUUUGACACUCCUAGCCUCCAGUCUACCUAGACUGAACUUUAGCUUUUAUGUUAAAGAUUAUGAUCACAACAAACAAAAGAUAUGUUAUCUAAUGGAUGCAAAGGAGGAGAUUGUUAUUGAGAAUCAAUAUACACACUAAACAGGCACUGGGGUCCAAUGACACUUCUCAUUAUCAGCUUGUAUUAUGGAUCUUCUAUUCUCUAGUGCUGCCAACAAUGAAAUCACUCAGUCAAGAGUAUGCUGAUGUAAAAUGAAAAAAUCAUCUGUCAUUGUGUGGACAUACUGUUUAAUCUUUUUACACACACUUUAUGUUUGAUUAUUUCUAACUUUAUUCAAUUCCCCAAAACCACAAUAUUGGAAACAGAACAUGACAGAUAAAUAUGAACACCCAACCCAAAAAGAUAAGAUAAUUCAUAUAAACAAAUAAAAAUCUGCACAUUAUGUGGACAGGACAAGACAGGACAGGUAAAGAAACCAGAAUAGAAUAGCAUAUAUAUUUGCUAACUUCGCUCAAUCUGCAUGAACCCCUCGGAUAAGGGGAGUCCACGUAACGUAGUAAAGUAAAACUGUGAUGAAAGAUGGUCUGGUUAUAGAACAUAUUAAUAUUAUACUGUUUUGAAAACAGAGGGUCUUCAUGGUUCAAAACCUGUACAUUAGUUGUACCUUGUCUGAACAAUGUUUUAGUAUUUUAAAGGAUUUUGUGUUCAAAAGAUCCAGGAUAAUUUUCUUGUCAGUCUAUAAUAACAUAAUGGAAACUCCGACCUUUCCAGUGACACUAAAACGCGCCGUGAACGGGAGGUAGCAACUCCGGUUAGUGUCGGACGAAAGUUUUCCCAUUUCAGAGUCACGCAGACAUAAAUGUAUGUUCUUGCCAAAAUACUUCACAAAAACUUAUAUUUUCGCCCAAAACAGCAGACUUUUAUUUACUUACGU